AUUAACUCAGAGUAUCUGAAGCGUGAUCGCGGGCAGCUGGAAUACAGGCUGAGUCUCACACAACAUGCUUGAAAUUAUUUACCGCGUGAGGAAGAUAUAUUACUUGAUUGUUGCCGUUAUUGGUGCCCCUGCUACCUGGUCCUGUAUUGCCACAAGGAACAACUCAGUUUCUGGGAAGAGAUCUCCAACUUUUAGCCUGGCGUCAGACGCUUCCAGUUGACACCUGGUCUGCUCAGGUGGUGGGGAUCUCAUCCCUGGACAAUUAUGCUCAUCCAGGUUAACUCUUUCUUCUACAGCAGUGUUACCCAACCUAUUCUAGCACUUUUCGUGCCGCGAAACAAGUAGAAAUGUCGAACACCCUGGUUGCUAAUUUAUGCAUCCCCAACAACGUCUGUUAGGAUUCCAACAGAUUUGUCUGGGAAGAUUUCUACUGAAGAAAACCAUGCCGACUUUGGCCGUACAGUGGAGGAUUCAAGAGAACUGUCAUGUAGAUGGGGAAUAAGAUGGCGGCACAACGCAGCGCACACGGCCUCUCUGGAGAAUGUUAUCUGUUACUUGUUAAGUACAGAUUUGUAUCUGUACAUUAAGUAUAAUAUUAUUGUAUAAUAAGUACCCUGAUUUGAUGGAGAUACACGUGAGUGCACGGAGGAACUUCGGGAGAAACUUCUGAAAUGACCGCUUCGCCGCCGCUGCUACUGUGCGGUGCGGUCCGGAAUCUCCGGAUGAAAAGGCCUCCGAGACCUCGGCUUUGCUUGUUUCGGUGGCCAGGACGAUGUCGAUGGCGCUCGGAGCCUGUAUUGCAGGCUUGAAGUUUUCGGACGGACUCAGAGUCUGCUGUGGUCGGGUGCUUCCAAGGCAUCAGUUUGUCGGUGCCUGAGAGUUUAUGGCAGGGAGAGUUUCUCCCUUUUGCUGCCUAAUAUCGGGACUAUUGGAGUCGAUCGGGACUUGAGACUUUCUCUUAAACCGUGCCCACGCUCUACUUUUAUCAAAUUAUGGUAUUGAUUUGCACUGCUGUAACUAUAUGUUAUAAUUAUGUGCUUUUUUUUGUCAAUGUGACUCUUUGGUUUGUCCUGUUUUUUGUGUUAUAUCACUCUGGAGGAACAUUGUAUU
Hypanus sabinus (Atlantic stingray) is the source of this 1110-nucleotide long non-coding RNA. RefSeq lists it as uncharacterized. The transcript is spliced from 3 exons. NCBI's taxonomy places the organism in Eukaryota, Metazoa, Chordata, Chondrichthyes, Myliobatiformes, Dasyatidae. The record is from RefSeq and is a predicted model, not a curated record.